Molecule: ribosomal RNA, 474 nt
Filed under: uncultured bacterium
Lineage: Bacteria
Description: bacterial SSU rRNA
Rfam family: Bacterial small subunit ribosomal RNA
Source: RNAcentral
AACGAACGCUGGCGGCGCGCUUAACACAUGCAAGUCGAACGAGAAGGCGUAGCAAUACGCUUGUAAAGUGGCGAACGGGUGAGGAAUACAUGGGUAACCUACCCUCGAGUGGGGGAUAACCCGCCGAAAGGCGGGCUAAUACCGCGUACGCUUCCGAUCUUGCGGGAUCGGAAGGAAAGCUGUCCCUUGGGGAUGGCGCUCAAGGAUGGGCUCAUGUCCUAUCAGCUUGUUGGUAGGGUAACGGCCUACCAAGGCAUCGACGGGUAGCUGGUCUGAGAGGACGAUCAGCCACACUGGCACUGCGACACGGGCCAGACCCCUACGGGAGGCAGCAGUGAGGAAUAUUGCGCAAUGGGCAAAGCCUGACGCAGCGACGCCGCGUGGGGAUGAAGGUCUUCGGAUGUAAACCCCUUUCGGGUGGGAAGACGGCCCUAGACAACUAGGGCGGACGGUACCGCCAGAAGCAGCCACGGC